CAAGGUCUGGCAAAUCCUCUGUUUUCUCAGGGCCACAUGACAGUAGAAGCACAUAAAAUAUCGCAAACAACACCACUCUGAAAAGAAGGGAAUUUCAGACAGGAAAGAAUCAGGGCCAGCUAACACCUCCCAACAAAAAAUUCACUCAGGGAGGAAACAGCCAGGCUUUAAAGCUGCAAGGCCAUUACAUCCUAAUCAUUUUUCCUAAUUGCAGCAUUCAUACUUGCCUCCAACAGAAAAAAAAACCAAUCAGAAAUAUUGUAUAUUCACAACCUUUAGGAAAUAAUAUCCCCUGAUGGCGCAGCGUGUUAAAGCGCUGAGCUGCUGAACUUCUGGACUGAAAGGCCACAGGUUUGAAUUGGGGGAGCGGAGAGAGCCCUCACUGUUAGCCCCAGCUUCUGCCAAUCCAGAAGUUCAAAAACAUGCAACUAUGAGUGCAUCAAUAGGUACUGCUCCGGCGGGAAGGUAACGCCACUCCAUGCAGUCAUCCCACAUGACCUUGGAGGAGUCUACGGACAACGCCGGCUCUUCGGCUUAGAAAUGGAGAUGAGCACCAACCCCCAGAAUCAUACAUGACUGGGCUUAAUGUCAGGGGAAAACGUUUACCCUUUACCUUAACUACCACCCAAUUCCUCAAUACUUUAUAUCCUAUACCACCAUACUUCGCCACAGCAACGCGUGGUCGGGCACAGCUAGUCUAUAUAUAUAAAAGGAUAAAGUUGCGGGCGCAGUGACUAUAACAACAAAACUAAACAUCCCAGAAAUACGAAAUUUGGCAACACAAUGCAAAAGGCUUGCCUCCAGGUUACAACAACACAACCCACACCACAAAACCACAAUCCAGACCCACAACACUCACAACAACGCAUCAUGCGAUAACAACACAACUAAACGCCCCCAGAAAUACAAAACUUGGCAACACAAUGAAAAAGCCUUGCCUCCCAGUUGUAACAACACAACCACACCACAAAACCACACAGGACCCACAAAACUCACAACAACGCAUCGUGACUAUAACAACACAACUAAACGCCCCAGAAAUACGAAACUUGGCGACACAACGCAAAAGCCUUCCCUCCAGGUUGUAACAACACAACCACACCACAAAACCACAAUCCGGACCCACAAAACUUGGCAAAACAAUGCAAAAGCCUUGCCUCCCGGUUGUAACAACACAACCACACCACAAAACCACACCGGACCCACAAAACUCACAACAACGCAUCAUGACUAUAACAACACAACUAAACGCCCCAGAAAUACAAAAUUUGACAACACAACUCAUCCACCUCCCCAAUCCCUACAUUCACACUUGGCCUCCAAAAAAACAAUUACAAUAAUAACAAUAACAACAACAGUAAGAAUCAACACCAUCACAGGCAAGAAACAGCCAGGCACUGAGGCUGAGAGGCCAGUCAGUGCUACAGUGGGCCUCCAAAAAACAAUACAGUAGCAUCUAACUUAUCCAACUUUCAUGACCACUACAACAACAAUAAUAAUAAACACCUACACAGGCAAAAAAAAAAAGACUAUUGUACCACAAUAAAAAUAUAAACCGCACUCAGCAGAAUCAGACAUUACAAUUAACAACAAACCAAAGACAACAGGGAUCUCAAGCAAUUAUCAAUCAACACAAAAAUUGAAGAAGGUAACAGACUUCAAAUACUACUACUAAUGUGAGCAUAAAGAAGGGUGGAGGUCACAGCAUAAAUACAACCUAAUGUAGACUGACCAACACCACCAGACUAAGCCACAGCAACGCGUGGCCGGGCACAGCUAGUGAGACUAUAUAUUUUAUGACACAUAAACCUAGAGUAUUAUGUCUCCAUUCAACAGCCUGCUGUGAAGAAUUUACAUGUCACUUAGUAGGUAAAAUGGCUCAGAUUUAUUCCAAGUUGGCUACUGUACAGUCCCAGUAGAUGUAAGCUUGAUUUCUACUUGUCCAGUGUCAUUGCAUACUUUUCAAUAUGUGCAGUCUGAGGAUGUGUUCUAGAUCCUUGGCCUCUGACUGAUGAAAUAAGCUAGAGGAGGACUGGCUGAGUUAGUGAAGGGAAGAGUCAAUGUUUCCUUAAAACAAGACAGAAUUCCCACUUGUCUAAGGGGUAGCUGUGAGGCCUAUUUUUAUAAGGCCAUCCCCAAACCCCUCUGUAAUGGACAAUUACUGGACAGUGUCCAACCUGUUUUGGAUCAAGGUAUUUGACCAUAUGGUGCCCUCCCAGUUCCAGGAGAUUCUGGAUUAAACAAAUUAUUUAAACCAUUUCUCUCUGAUUUCAGGCCUUGUUACGAGGAAGAGAAAGCUUUGGUCACCUUGCUGGAUGACCUAAGCAGAGAUCUGGGCAGAGGGAGUAUGUUCCUGUUGGUUCUCCUGGACAUCUCAGUAGC
RNAcentral lists this long non-coding RNA (2382 nucleotides) under Anolis carolinensis (green anole). Its description in RNAcentral is "lncRNA (ENSACAG00000043156.1)". The record is from RNAcentral. Lineage: Eukaryota; Metazoa; Chordata; Lepidosauria; Squamata; Anolidae.